RNAcentral lists this long non-coding RNA (698 nucleotides) under Medicago truncatula (barrel medic). RNAcentral's name for it is "lncRNA gene13635". Lineage: Eukaryota; Viridiplantae; Streptophyta; Magnoliopsida; Fabales; Fabaceae. The record is from RNAcentral.
UGCUAACCCAACACAAGAAGUGAAGAGGCUAGAGGAAAGACGCAAGAUAAGAGAUACAUAAAGACAGACAACUAAACCAAGGCCAAAAAGGCACAACACAAACCACCUAAACAACCCUUAAUACAAUAGAAUCACAGCAGAAAAACCUUAACCAAAUCAAGCAAAAACAAUUGCUUAGUUGAUAUUGGUAUGCCUUGUCGCAUUGAUGUUUCAGAAAUGUCUAGGUGGAGGGGAAUGUUGUCUUAUAUGUGGUAAUACAGGUGGUAAUCCAUGUGGUAAACCCCUUACGAAUGGAGUCAAAUUGGUAAAUUUUUGUUCUGGGAUAGUAAUUGGAGGGAGAUUGCAAAAUGUUGAGGAGAAAACAUAAGAGCAGCAAGGAAUAACACUAAUAAGGAUAAGAAAAAGGAUUUAGCCAUUUUAAGAAGUGAUAUUAUUAUUGUGUUGGUGCAUAAUACAUAUGGAAUUAACUGGUUUUAUACUAAUUAGAGACUCAAUGUGAGUUUAUGGUCAAUCUAAGUUAUUUACUAAAUGUCAAAAUUAUGUAUGAAUUGAAUUAUUCAACAAUGUUACAACUUCCAUGUAUUUGCUACUAGUUGAUGAUCAUUAACUAUCCUUAAUUUCAUUUUCCAUACAGCAAGACCAUUUAGUAUUAUUGGCUCUAUCUUUCCACUAAUAGGUAUGUAUUUGAUAAAUUUUAU